RNAcentral lists this ribosomal RNA (846 nucleotides) under Lacticaseibacillus paracasei subsp. tolerans. RNAcentral describes it as "bacterial SSU rRNA". It matches the Rfam family "Bacterial small subunit ribosomal RNA", at positions 100 to 931 of the family's 1533-position model. Lineage: Bacteria; Bacillati; Bacillota; Bacilli; Lactobacillales; Lactobacillaceae. The record is from RNAcentral.
GGACGGGUGAGUAACACGUGGGUAACCUGCCCUUAAGUGGGGGAUAACAUUUGGAAACAGAUGCUAAUACCGCAUAGAUCCAAGAACCGCAUGGUUCUUGGCUGAAAGAUGGCGUAAGCUAUCGCUUUUGGAUGGACCCGCGGCGUAUUAGCUAGUUGGUGAGGUAAUGGCUCACCAAGGCGAUGAUACGUAGCCGAACUGAGAGGUUGAUCGGCCACAUUGGGACUGAGACACGGCCCAAACUCCUACGGGAGGCAGCAGUAGGGAAUCUUCCACAAUGGACGCAAGUCUGAUGGAGCAACGCCGCGUGAGUGAAGAAGGCUUUCGGGUCGUAAAACUCUGUUGUUGGAGAAGAAUGGUCGGCAGAGUAACUGUUGUCGGCGUGACGGUAUCCAACCAGAAAGCCACGGCUAACUACGUGCCAGCAGCCGCGGUAAUACGUAGGUGGCAAGCGUUAUCCGGAUUUAUUGGGCGUAAAGCGAGCGCAGGCGGUUUUUUAAGUCUGAUGUGAAAGCCCUCGGCUUAACCGAGGAAGCGCAUCGGAAACUGGGAAACUUGAGUGCAGAAGAGGACAGUGGAACUCCAUGUGUAGCGGUGAAAUGCGUAGAUAUAUGGAAGAACACCAGUGGCGAAGGCGGCUGUCUGGUCUGUAACUGACGCUGAGGCUCGAAAGCAUGGGUAGCGAACAGGAUUAGAUACCCUGGUAGUCCAUGCCGUAAACGAUGAAUGCUAGGUGUUGGAGGGUUUCCGCCCUUCAGUGCCGCAGCUAACGCAUUAAGCAUUCCGCCUGGGGAGUACGACCGCAAGGUUGAAACUCAAAGGAAUUGACGGGGGCCCGCACAAGCG